Acanthopagrus latus (yellowfin seabream) is the source of this 442-nucleotide long non-coding RNA. RefSeq lists it as uncharacterized. Lineage: Eukaryota; Metazoa; Chordata; Actinopteri; Spariformes; Sparidae. The transcript is spliced from 3 exons. The record is from RefSeq and is a predicted model, not a curated record.
AUCUUCUUUCUUUGAAGGUGCUUCUGUUGCAGUCAGAGGUCAUCUGAGCUUCUCACUGAUUGAAGGAGUUACAGAGAGAGUCAGACACGAGCUGUGCUGCUGCUGCCGGCUGUGGAGCUGAACGUAGUUGAUGGGUUCUGUAAAAAUACUCACAUGAUGCUAGCUACGAGCUGCUGCACUGGUCUCCUCUUGGGGUCCAGGCAAUAGCGAUAGCCGCUGUUGGUGGUGACACUGUUGAAAUGGAAAGUAGAGAAGACGGUUGCUUGGAAGAUCUGGACAUCCUUUACGUCAGAGGUAUCCAACCUCUUGACACUUGAGCACAGACACUGCUUUCCCAAUCCAUGUCCUGAAGACAAAUACGAGGAAAAACAAAGGAAAUUAAAAUCACAGCUACCAAAACAUAUUGAACAUAUUGAACAAAAAUAAAUCUUUUGCUCUUUUA